Molecule: ribosomal RNA, 404 nt
Filed under: uncultured bacterium
Lineage: Bacteria
Description: partial 16S ribosomal RNA
Rfam family: Bacterial small subunit ribosomal RNA
Source: RNAcentral
CCUACGGGAGGCAGCAGUAGGGAAUCUUCCACAAUGGGCGAAAGCCUGAUGGAGCAACGCCGCGUGGGUGAAGAAGGUCUUCGGAUCGUAAAACCCUGUUGUCAGAGAAGAAAGUGCGUGAGAGUAACUGUUCACGUUUCGACGGUAUCUAACCAGAAAGCCACGGCUAACUCCGUGCCAGCAGCCGCGGUAAUACGUAGGUGGCAAGCGUUAUCCGGAUUUAUUGGGCGUAAAGGGAACGCAGGCGGUCUUUUAAGUCUGAUGUGAAAGCCCUCGGCUUAACCGGGGUAGUGCAUUGGAGACUGGGAAACUUGAGUGCCGAAGAGGAGAGUAGAACUCCAGGUGUAGCGGUGAAAUGCGUAGAUAUAUGGAAGAACACCAGUGGCGAAAGCGGCUCUCUGGAC